AAUGGUUGGUUGGAAAAUAACUAAAAAGUAAAAGUGGUUAGAUAAAUUCUAAUUGAAUUCUGUAUUGGAUUCGACUGGAUGCGAAUAUGAAUAUUAAAAUUUAGCAUUUGACGUAUAUACGUAUUAAAAUUCACAUUUGAAUUUUUUUUUUAAAAAAUGGGGUAAUUACUUAUAUAUUUUCAACUUUUUUAUUAACCCCCUCUAAUUAGAAGGCUAAUAUUAAAAAUACUUCCUUAGUAUUUCAAAUUAUUUCAAAUAUAUAUCUUUCUAUCGCCACCAACUUUUUUUAUUUACCUUCAAGUUAGGGACAAAAAAAGUAUUUUGAGUUUUGUCUUCUCUUUUGUCCAAUCAUUCCCUUUGAGAAAGUCAUCACCAACUUUUCUUAUUUACUAUUAAGUUAGGGCAAAAGAGAUAUUUUGAUUUUUUUUUUUUUUUAACUCUAGUAGAAAUUUGACCCGUGUUUAACUCAAGAUAACUUAACGGGUACUAAUAACGGAAUAUUUUUGAAUAAUGGAGAAAUAUACGAGAGGUAUAUUUGAAAUAUAAAAAAGUAGGGAUACAUUAGAUAUUUCAGAAAUUUUCAGGGGUAUAUUAGAUAUUAUUUCUAAAAAAAUAUGGAUGUAAAUAUGGUCUCUUAAAAUAUCGACUGUAUUCGACUGAUUUGACCCCUUAAAGAUAAGACGGAAGUUAAUAUAAAUUAUAGGAAAAUAAAGCAGUUUUAUCACGUUCUUCCUUUAUUUUAUUAUAAAUUUCAUAAUAAAAUUGUAUUUGUAUUUGUUAAAAUAUUAAAUUUUAUUGAAUAAAAUAUAGGUAUAUCGAGUUUAUAAAUUUCAUAAUAAAAUUGUAUUUGUAUUGGUUAAAAUAUUAAAUUUUAUUGAAUAAAAUAUAGAAAUAUAGGUAUAAGGAGUUUAAACAUGAGUGUGAACCUUUAAUUUUAUUAUGUCUUAUUCGUGCUAAUUUUACUUUAUAUUUAUAUAUUCAUAUUAGUAUAUAUUAUUAUCUGAAUAUAUCGGAAUACAAAUCCGACUUAUAUCUGAAUCCGAAUCCGUUUUUAGCUGAUAUGAUAACAAAAAUUUGGCACUCGACAUAUAUCUGCAUCC
This 1100-nucleotide long non-coding RNA is filed under the name Ananas comosus (pineapple). Its description in RNAcentral is "long non-coding RNA (ACOM_LNC030854)". The record is from RNAcentral. Lineage: Eukaryota; Viridiplantae; Streptophyta; Magnoliopsida; Poales; Bromeliaceae.